AUUGAACGCUGGCGGCAGGCCUAACACAUGCAAGUCGAGCGGAUGAAGGGAGCUUGCUCCUGGAUUCAGCGGCGGACGGUUGAGUAAUGCCUAGGAAUCUGCCUGGUAGUGGGGGAUAACGUCCGGAAACGGGCGCUAAUACCGCAUACGUCCUGAGGGAGAAAGUGGGUGAUCUUCGGACCUCACGCUAUCAGAUGAGCCUAGGUCGGAUUAGCUAGUUGGUGGGGUAAAGGCCUACCAAGGCGACGAUCCGUAACUGGUCUGAGAGGAUGAUCAGUCACACUGGAACUGAGACACGGUCCAGACUCCUACGGGAGGCAGCAGUGGGGAAUAUUGGACAAUGGGCGAAAGCCUGAUCCAGCCAUGCCGCGUGUGUGAAGAAGGUCUUCGGAUUGUAAAGCACUUUAAGUUGGGAGGAAGGGCAGUAAGUUAAUACCUUGCUGUUUUGACGUUACCAACAGAAUAAGCACCGGCUAACUUCGUG
RNAcentral lists this ribosomal RNA (484 nucleotides) under uncultured bacterium. Its description in RNAcentral is "partial 16S ribosomal RNA". It matches the Rfam family "Bacterial small subunit ribosomal RNA", at positions 30 to 507 of the family's 1533-position model. The record is from RNAcentral.